AUGGAGGAGAGGCUGAAACUAAGCCGCGACAGCACGACGGAGGAAGUGGAUGCUACGCAGUACCGACGCCUUGUGGGGAGCCUUCGCUACCUCACUCACACACGGCCGGACUUGGCAUUCUCCGUCGGCUAUGUCAGUCGGUUCAUGGAGCGACCAACGUCGGAACACCAGCAGGCAGUGAAGAGGAUCGUCCGCUACAUAGCAGGGACCCUCGACCACGGCCUCCACUACCCUAGGUGUCCUGGGGCGGCACACUUCGUCGGGUACAGCGACAGCGACCACGCCGGCGACAUCGACACCAGCAAGAGCACGAGCGGGAUCCUCCUCUUCCUCGGCAAGUGUCUCGUGAGCUGGCAAUCAGUCAAGCAGCAGGUGGUGGCCCUGUCCAGCUGUGAGGCUGAGUACAUAGCGGCCUCCACCGCCUGUACUCAGGCGCUCUGGCUUGCUCGACUACUUGGUGAUCUUCUCGUUCAAGACACCAGAACGGUGCAGCUCCUGGUGGACAGCAAGUCCGCCCUGGCCCUGGCAAAGAACCCCGUGUUCCACGAACGGAGCAAGCACAUCCGACUGAGGUAUCACUUCAUCCGCAGCUGUGUGGAAGAAGGGAGCAUCGAGGCGAGCUACAUCAACACCAAGGAUCAGCUCGCAGACCUGCUCACCAAGCCCCUUGGGAGGGUCAAGUUCCUCGAACUUUGCUCCAGGAUUGGGAUGAUUCAACUCUCCCACAAGACGACGUACAAGACUUAG
This 747-nucleotide ribosomal RNA is filed under the name Triticum aestivum (bread wheat). RNAcentral describes it as "partial small subunit ribosomal RNA". Lineage: Eukaryota; Viridiplantae; Streptophyta; Magnoliopsida; Poales; Poaceae. The record is from RNAcentral.